Long non-coding RNA from Dicentrarchus labrax (European seabass), 2849 nucleotides. Lineage: Eukaryota; Metazoa; Chordata; Actinopteri; Moronidae. The record is from Ensembl.
CAAACAUCCAAAGGAGGCGCUCCUUGUGAAUAAAUAUUUGUUGUCCUUGUUUGGAUAGUGAGGAGUGCUUUCUCUUUCUCUCUCUCAUGCAGUACAGUGGCUGUUCCUAAUGACCCUGUGUUUGCAUCAGCUGUCUGGUUAGAACAUUUACAAAAGCUUGUUUUUUCUGUGGUAAUGUGAAACAUGCUCACACAGCAUUUAUUCUAGUGUGCUUAUUGGUGCAUAAUUCCUAUUCACUCCUCAUUUAUAAAUCAUAAGUGGGGCAGUAAGACUCACACACGGUAGAUAUAAUGCACUGCUCUGUCAAUACACAAUAGAUUAAAUUAGGGACAAAAUAUUGUAUGAAAUGUAAGCCUUAUAAUAUAUUACAUUAACAUAUAUAUCAUAGAACAUGUGCACACCAUAUUUGGUUUUCAUCAGCAGCAUUGCAAUCUCCCUUUUCAAGGAUUGGAGAGAGACCCAGUGUGCUAAACACAUGCUGGUGGAGCUACUGUACAUGAGCAGAGCAGGGAUUGGUCAGCAGCUCUGCCACUCAAACAGCAAAUACGCUCCCACUUCCUCUGUCCUCCUUUCCUGGUGCAGCCUACGAGGGAGGGGAAUGGAUCUUUUCUGUGUGAGUCGCCGGCGCUCCCUCAGGCUGCUCCUUACCACCUGUCCUUGACUUACUGUGCUCAGACGAGACUGAGUGGAAGCUGUGCUGCUGACUCCUCCCCUCUGGCACCUCUCUGUCUGUGUUUAUGUGAGCAGCUGCAUUUUUCCGUUUAAAUCUCUCACUCUGUGUGUGGCUGUUUCUUUCUACCUGUGGUGCUUCAGUGGAGUGGCAAGGAGGGGAACGUCCGUCCUCGGCUGGUGGAGCUCUGAUGGGAGGCAGUGCUGGCUUUAGCUGGGACUGGGGAUGCUGAACGGGGGGAGGGAGGGCCUGUUUGAGCUGGGACAGCAGCUCCAGCAGCAGGGGGAGUACCAGGCCGCCCUCCACUGCUUCCUCAGCUGCCUGUUGGGACUGACCCAUGUACAGAGCUUUACUUCUCUGCCCAACUGCCUUCACCAGAUUGCAGAACUCUUCAUCACUGAAAAGAAUUAUGGGAAGGCCCUCCAGUUCAUCCAGGCUGAAAAAAUGUUCUAUGAGGUGGCACUGAUCGAGCUCACGGCUCUUCAGGGGAGCACAGGGCCUCAGGAGGAGGCUACGCUGGGCUCCGCAGGAUGGACAACACCAGAGGAGCUUUCGGAGCAGGCCUCCCAGGCACAGCACCUCGAACGGUUGGCCCAGCUGUGCAUCAUGAGCAAACAACCUCAUCUUGCUCUAGAAUACAGCGGUAAGGCCACAAAGAUCCACCAGAGGGCCUUUGGUAAUGACCACCCAAUUACAGCCAGAAGCCUGGAGCUUAUGGCCACCGUCUAUGCUGAGAUUGGCAAGACUGAAUAUUCAGACUCCCUGGGUCAGUGUGUGUCUGCACUGUCUAAACGCUUCGCUGCUGCAGAGUCCAUCCGAGACUCAACUGUCAACUGUCUUCCUCACUCCCACCGGGAGAAACACUCAGAGGUCCGCCACAGAAAGGAUACCCACCACCAACAGGAGGACACACCGAAACAGAAGGUAACCAAUGGCAAAGUCCCCACCUCCAUUCUAAAGAGGCCAAGUCCCAACUAUGGGUCAGACUCAGAACCAAACCACAGACGGAAAGGCGAACGGCGAGUUCGAUUCAGGGAGCCAGAGACCACAGUACAUGCCUAUGAGACGACACCGUCCCGCCCCCACCUCGCCCUGUUCACUUGCCUCUUCCUGCUGAUGUCAUUCCUGGGUGUGGCCAUGUACUGCACAGACCGCAGGCGCCCACAGCGAGUGUGUGAGGAGCUGGAGGCUGCUUUGGCUGUCUACCUGCUGCACGUGAAACAGCUUCUUUGGGGCUGCUGGAUAUGGCUGACCAUGCAGUGACUGAGACCGACCACAGGUGGCGACAUGGAGCCUCCUUUAUGUGCUUUUUUUUUCAGACCCCUCUUUUUUUCAUAUCUUGGAAGGAGCCACGGCCUACAAACACCUCAGCCAUUUGGCAAGGCUCUGUGCACUGUCUGUGGUGUUGAACCACUCUCACAGUGAAAAAGGGAAAAAUGUGUAAUCCCAGAAAUAUGUAGCUUCCAUGUCUGUAUGUAUAUAUGUACUAAGGUGGUGGACACGCCACUUCUUAUUUAAGUUGUAAUGAUUUUGCACAUCUGCAAUAUUGAUCCUCACAUAUAGCGCUCACCUAAUCACCACAACCAUCGGAUUUUCCAGGUCAUGUCACUGUCUGUUGUAUGUGAAUGAGUGGUUCCAUGGAAUGCAAAUAUUUAUUUUGUUACAGUACAUGAUUUGUGUAUAUCAGAUAUUACACGGAACUGAAUGUGUAUAUAUGGCUCAAUAUACUAAGGACUAUCACAAUACUCAGCCUUGUAAUUGCACAUAAAUGAAUGUAGAGAUGUUUGGAAACAGCUUUGAUUGGCACGCUGCACAUUCGAGAGGAGGAAGAUGGAAGCACAAAUGUGUAAAGUGUUCGAUAGAAAACACAGGGCUGCAUCAAUUCACGGUACCGGGUUGAAUAACUAACAGAUGAAAAACACCUCUUUCUUUACAGACUCUCUCUAGCUGAUUCCUUGCUCCACUGAGGAGGAAAUCUGCAGCACAAUGUUAUGAAUUCUCUCUCCUUAUCUAUCGUCGAAGAGAAUAUAUUCAAACUGAAUGAAUGCUAAUGCUUUUGACAGUGUUCCUCUUUAUAACCGCUUGAAUCCCACGAAAUAUCCUUUAUCCUAAAUGUUAUUUAUUCUUCUACACUGUAUAUCUGCAUCUACGCAAAUAUCCGACUUUCGAUUAUUUUAAA